GCGCGGGUGGCGAAAUGGCAGACGCACUACCUUGAGGUGGUAGCGCCCUUACGGGCAUGGAGGUUCAAGUCCUCUCCCGCGCA
This is a transfer RNA of 83 nucleotides. It matches the Rfam family "tRNA". From Rfam's summary of the family: Transfer RNA (tRNA) molecules are approximately 80 nucleotides in length. Their secondary structure includes four short double-helical elements and three loops (D, anti-codon, and T loops). Further hydrogen bonds mediate the characteristic L-shaped molecular structure. tRNAs have two regions of fundamental functional importance: the anti-codon, which is responsible for specific mRNA codon recognition, and the 3' end, to which the tRNAs corresponding amino acid is attached (by aminoacyl-tRNA synthetases). tRNAs cope with the degeneracy of the genetic code in two manners: having more than one tRNA (with a specific anti-codon) for a particular amino acid; and 'wobble' base-pairing, i.e. permitting non-standard base-pairing at the 3rd anti-codon position.